UACGGAGGGUGCGAGCGUUGCUCGGAAUCACUGGGCGUAAAGCGUACGCAGGCUGUUUCGUAAGUCGGGUGUGAAAGCCCCGGGCUCAACCUGGGAAUGGCGAUGGAUACUGGCUCGCUAGAGUGCGGUAGAGGAGAGUGGAAUUCCCGGUGUAGCAGUGAAAUGCGUAGAGAUCGGGAGGAACAUCAGUUGCGAAGGCGGCUCUCUGGACCAGCACUGACACUGAGGCACGAAAGCGUGGGGAGCAAACAGG
Molecule: ribosomal RNA, 253 nt
Filed under: uncultured bacterium
Lineage: Bacteria
Description: partial 16S ribosomal RNA
Rfam family: Bacterial small subunit ribosomal RNA
Source: RNAcentral